GAAAGACGCGCAUUUGUUAUCAUCAUCCCUGUAAACAGAGAUGUUUGUUUUGGCCACAUUGAUUGUGGCCAUUUU
This is a non-coding RNA of Serratia sp. Leaf50, 75 nucleotides long. The record is from Rfam. NCBI's taxonomy places the organism in Bacteria, Pseudomonadati, Pseudomonadota, Gammaproteobacteria, Enterobacterales, Yersiniaceae.